This 465-nucleotide ribosomal RNA is filed under the name uncultured Klebsiella sp. RNAcentral's name for it is "bacterial SSU rRNA". It matches the Rfam family "Bacterial small subunit ribosomal RNA", at positions 338 to 795 of the family's 1533-position model. The record is from RNAcentral. Lineage: Bacteria; Pseudomonadati; Pseudomonadota; Gammaproteobacteria; Enterobacterales; Enterobacteriaceae.
CCUACGGGCGGCUGCAGUGGGGAAUAUUGCACAAUGGGCGCAAGCCUGAUGCAGCCAUGCCGCGUGUGUGAAGAAGGCCUUCGGGUUGUAAAGCACUUUCAGCGGGGAGGAAGGCGUUAAGGUUAAUAACCUUGGCGAUUGACGUUACCCGCAGAAGAAGCACCGGCUAACUCCGUGCCAGCAGCCGCGGUAAUACGGAGGGUGCAAGCGUUAAUCGGAACUACUGGGCGUAAAGCGCACGCAGGCGGUCUGUCAAGUCGGAUGUGAAAUCCCCGGGCUCAACCUGGGAACUGCAUUGGAAACUGGGAGGCUAGAGUCUUGUAGAGGGGGGUAGAAUUCCAGGUGUAGCGGUGAAAUGCGUAGAGAUCUGGAGGAAUACCGGUGGCGAAGGCGGCCCCCUGGACAAAAACUGACGCUCAGGUGCGAAAGCGUGGGGAGCAAACAGGAUUAGAUACCCUAGUAGUC